AUUGAACGCUGGCGGCAGGCCUAACACAUGCAAGUCGAGCGAGCGGCGGACGGGUGAGUAAUGUCUGGGAAACUGCCUGAUGGAGGGGGAUAACUACUGGAAACGGUAGCUACUACCGCAUACCAUCAGAUGUGCCCCGAUGGGAUUAGCUAGUAGGUGGGGUAACGGCUCACCUAGGCGACGAUCCCUAGCUGGUCUGAGAGGAUGACCAUCCACACUGGAACGGAGAAACGGCCCAGACUCCUACGGGAGGAAGGAGGGGGGAAUAUUGCACAAUGGGCGCAAGCCGGAUGCAGCCAUGCCGCGUGUGUGAAGAAGGCCUUCGGGUGGUAAAGCACUUUCAGCGGGGAGGCGUUACCCGCAGAAGAAGCACCGGCUAACUCCGUGCCAGCAGCCGCGGUAAUAC
Molecule: ribosomal RNA, 406 nt
Filed under: uncultured bacterium
Lineage: Bacteria
Description: partial 16S ribosomal RNA
Rfam family: Bacterial small subunit ribosomal RNA
Source: RNAcentral